This 450-nucleotide ribosomal RNA is filed under the name uncultured bacterium. Its description in RNAcentral is "bacterial SSU rRNA". It matches the Rfam family "Bacterial small subunit ribosomal RNA", at positions 29 to 524 of the family's 1533-position model. The record is from RNAcentral.
AACGGACGCUGGCGGCAUGCCUAACACAUGCAAGUCGAACGAGACCUUCGGGUCUAGUGGCGCACGGGUGCGUAACGCGUGGGAACCUGCCUUUUGGUUCGGAAUGACUCAGAGAAAUUUGAGCUAAUACCGGAUAAUGUCUUCGGACCAAAGAUUUAUCGCCAUUAGAUGGGCCCGCGUAAGAUUAGCUAGUUGGUGGGGUAAAGGCCUACCAAGGCGACGAUCUUUAGCUGGUCUGAGAGGAUGAUCAGCCACACUGGGACUGAGACACGGCCCAGACUCCUACGGGAGGCAGCAGUGGGGAAUAUUGGACAAUGGGCGAAAGCCUGAUCCAGCAAUGCCGCGUGAGUGAUGAAGGCCUUAGGGUUGUAAAGCUCUUUUACCCGAGAUGAUAAUGACAGUAUCGGGAGAAUAAGCUCCGGCUAACUCCGUGCCAGCAGCCGCGGUAAU